This 497-nucleotide ribosomal RNA is filed under the name uncultured bacterium. RNAcentral's name for it is "partial 16S ribosomal RNA". It matches the Rfam family "Bacterial small subunit ribosomal RNA", at positions 28 to 507 of the family's 1533-position model. The record is from RNAcentral.
GAUGAACGCUGGCGGCGUGACUAAUACAUGCAAGUCGAGCGAACGGACGAGAAGCUUGCUUCUCUGAUGUUAGCGGCGGACGGGUGAGUAACACGUGGAUAACCUACCUAUAAGACUGGGAUAACUUCGGGAAACCGGAGCUAAUACCGGAUAAUAUUUUGAACCGCAUGGUUCAAAAGUGAAAGACGGUCUUGCUGUCACUUAUAGAUGGAUCCGCGCUGCAUUAGCUAGUUGGUAAGGUAACGGCUUACCAAGGCAACGAUGCAUAGCCGACCUGAGAGGGUGAUCGGCCACACUGGAACUGAGACACGGUCCAGACUCCUACGGGAGGCAGCAGUAGGGAAUCUUCCGCAAUGGGCGAAAGCCUGACGGAGCAACGCCGCGUGAGUGAUGAAGGUCUUCGGAUCGUAAAACUCUGUUAUUAGGGAAGAACAUAUGUGUAAGUAACUGUGCACAUCUUGACGGUACCUAAUCAGAAAGCCACGGCUAACUACGUG